AUAAAGUGGCUGAUAAAAGCUAAGAACUGUAAAUUCUUAUAUAAACUAAUAAUUUCUUUAUUA
Molecule: transfer RNA, 63 nt
Filed under: Leptynoptera sulfurea
Lineage: Eukaryota; Metazoa; Arthropoda; Insecta; Hemiptera; Triozidae
Description: tRNA-Tyr
Source: RNAcentral